RNAcentral lists this long non-coding RNA (1240 nucleotides) under Felis catus (domestic cat). Its description in RNAcentral is "lncRNA (ENSFCAG00000044345.2)". Lineage: Eukaryota; Metazoa; Chordata; Mammalia; Carnivora; Felidae. The record is from RNAcentral.
AUGCUUAACGUUGUUACAGAGCUGGCCUCACCCUCCAUGCACUGCGGAGUCUGGACAUACAGUUUUCUAAAGAAUUGUGUUCUUCUUGACAAGCCCAACAUACAUGUGAGAACCUUUAUGGACCUGUCUUCGUGGGUUCCACCAUCCACUUUCACCCCUGCCAGCAAAGGGCACUACAGUUUUCUCUCAAAUUUUAAGGCAUGGAAGCUUCAGAUAUAUAUCAAACCUCUCUACAGAUGAGUUGCAUAAUGUUUUUAAAUAUGUAAAAAGAAGGAUUUAGUCUUCUGCUUGCCCUCUGUGGGAAACGAGAAGAGCUUCAUCGUUGUGAUAUUGUUAGAGGCGCACAACACUAGUGAUUUUCAUUUUAGUAGACUACAGAAAAUGUGUGCAGACCGUGAGAUAUCCUGCAGACGGAUGAAGAUCCAUAGUUUCUGAGACUUUGUGUUGGGACCGUCGAUUCCUGAGUUCUGCUUGUAGACACAGCCAGACGUGCAAAGCAGGCAGGUCACCAUGGGCCUUCCGUUUUAGGAAUCAGAACACACAAAGGCAUCUGGUGAGCUCUGCUCUGACUUCCAGGAUGCCAGGGCUUUCUACAGCCAUCAAAGCUUACACUUGCCACCGGCUUAAAGUGCACACAUUCCUUGGCUCACCGUGUCCCAGGGGAAACCUUCUCGAAUCUUCUUUUGUGGGGAAGACCAGCCAGUGGAAAAUAUGAAAUUUGCAGAGGCAGAUUUUAAAUGGUAAUGACUUUAUGAAAUUGUUCUUAACACUUUUAAAUGUAUACUGGUUCAUUUCUUUUUUUUUCGAGAACACAAUACAUCCUUUUUGAGUUUCCAUUCAAAGCCUGCUGUAUCUAUAAGGCAAAUGCACUCCUUCUCCAUGAAGGAAAUUUGUGGAGAUAAGAUGAAUGGUAAUUAUCACGAAGAGUUAAAAUGGUGACUCAGUUGAUAGGUGAAGGUUAUCAGAAGGAAAAUAUGGAAUGAUAGAUUAGCAAACUUGUUGAUGGACUCACUUUGCUUUCUUAUUUUCUGAAGUGCUCUUUGCAACUCUCUGAUAAAACCAAAUUUGUGACCAAGUGCUGUAAUACAAAACAAUACAUAAUAUUAACUUGGUGGGAAAGAAAAUGCAUUCUCCUGAUUUGUUUUAUGGUCUCCAAAGUGAUUUUACUGAAUACGUGUAAUUUAUAGGGCGAAGUGAAAAAUAACAUACUUAUUCACUCUAAGAACGUAUUAUUUUUAUU